RNAcentral lists this ribosomal RNA (451 nucleotides) under uncultured bacterium. Its description in RNAcentral is "bacterial SSU rRNA". It matches the Rfam family "Bacterial small subunit ribosomal RNA", at positions 329 to 794 of the family's 1533-position model. The record is from RNAcentral.
GUCCAGACUCCUACGGGAGGCAGCAGUGGGGAAUAUUGGGCAAUGGGCGCAAGCCUGACCCAGCAACGCCGCGUGAAGGAAGAAGGCUCUCGGGUUGUAAACUUCUUUUAUCAGGGACGAAGCAAGUGACGGUACCUGAUGAAUAAGCCACGGCUAACUACGUGCCAGCAGCCGCGGUAAUACGUAGGUGGCAAGCGUUAUCCGGAUUUACUGGGUGUAAAGGGCGUGUAGGCGGGAAAGCAAGUCAGAUGUGAAAACCAUGGGCUCAACCUGUGGCCUGCAUUUGAAACUGUUUUUCUUGAGUACUGGAGAGGCAGACGGAAUUCCUAGUGUAGCGGUGAAAUGCGUAGAUAUACGGAGGGACACCAGUGGCGAAGGCGGAUUGCUGGACAGUAACUGACGCUGAGGCGCGAAAGCGUGGGGAGCAAACAGGAUUAGAUACCCCCGUACC